CCUACGGGUGGCAGCAGUGAGGAAUAUUGGUCAAUGGGCGUAAGCCUGAACCAGCCAAGUCGCGUGAGGGAUGAAGGUUCCAUGGAUCGUAAACCUCUUUUAUAAGGGAAUAAAGUGCGGGACGUGUCCCGUUUUGUAUGUACCUUAUGAAUAAGCAUCGGCUAACUCCGUGCCAGCAGCCGCGGUAAUACGGAGGAUGCGAGCGUUAUCCGGAUUUAUUGGGUUUAAAGGGUGCGUAGGCGGAUUUUUAAGUCAGCGGUAAAAUGUCCGGGCUCAACCCGGGCCGGCCGUUGAAACUGGGUGUCUUGAGUGGGCGAGAAGUAUGCGGAAUGCGUGGUGUAGCGGUGAAAUGCAUAGAUAUCACGCAGAACUCCGAUUGCGAAGGCAGCAUACCGGCGCCCGACUGACGCUGAGGCACGAAAGCGUGGGGAUCGAACAGGAUUAGAUACCCUAGUAGUC
This 459-nucleotide ribosomal RNA is filed under the name uncultured bacterium. Its description in RNAcentral is "partial 16S ribosomal RNA". It matches the Rfam family "Bacterial small subunit ribosomal RNA", at positions 338 to 795 of the family's 1533-position model. The record is from RNAcentral.